AUUGAACGCUGGCGGCAUGCUUUACACAUGCAAGUCGGACGGCAGCACAGAGAAGCUUGCUUCUUGGGUGGCGAGUGGCGAAACGGGUGAGUAAUAUAUCGGAACGUACCGAGUAAUGGGGGAUAACUAAUCGAAAGAUUAGCUAAUACCGCAUAUUCUCUGAGGAGGAAAGCAGGGGACCUUCGGGCCUUGCGUUAUUCGAGCGGCCGAUAUCUGAUUAGCUAGUUGGUGGGGUAAAGGCCUACCAAGGCGACGAUCAGUAGCGGGUCUGAGAGGAUGAUCCGCCACACUGGGACUGAGACACGGCCCAGACUCCUACGGGAGGCAGCAGUGGGGAAUUUUGGACAAUGGGCGCAAGCCUGAUCCAGCCAUGCCGCGUGUCUGAAGAAGGCCUUCGGGUUGUAAAGGACUUUUGUCAGGGAAGAAAAGGCUGUUGCUAAUAUCGACAGCUGAUGACGGUACCUGAAGAAUAAGCACCGGCUAACUACGUG
RNAcentral lists this ribosomal RNA (491 nucleotides) under uncultured Neisseria sp. Its description in RNAcentral is "bacterial SSU rRNA". It matches the Rfam family "Bacterial small subunit ribosomal RNA", at positions 30 to 507 of the family's 1533-position model. The record is from RNAcentral. Lineage: Bacteria; Pseudomonadati; Pseudomonadota; Betaproteobacteria; Neisseriales; Neisseriaceae.